Molecule: long non-coding RNA, 763 nt
Organism: Raphanus sativus (radish)
Lineage: Eukaryota; Viridiplantae; Streptophyta; Magnoliopsida; Brassicales; Brassicaceae
Exons: 7
Source: RefSeq, a predicted model, not a curated record
CAAUUUCUUUUUCCUGUGAAGAUCGAUUCUCUCGAUCUGACUCCUCGGAGAUUCGCAAAAAAUCCGAUUACGAUCUUAUGAUUAGUUUCGGUGGACUCUUCGAAGAAUUGAAUAUCCGAUUACGAUCUUAUGAUUAGUCGAUUCCGCCUGAAACCCCGGAUGUGAUUGUUGGGAUCUUUCACUCAGUCGUCGUCGAGAUGAUGAUAGUAUCGCUAUUGGAGGAGGAAACUCACCUCUGCCUUUUUUCUUCCAGAGUUGCUGCUUUACAUACCUGGAAGCUUACUCUUCUGCAUCGCCACCAAAGGUAUGUGCUUCAGAAGGUGUUCAAAACCAAAUUGUUAAAUAUUUUGCGGAGAUUUCAACUGUACCAGACUUUUGUGACGGGCAGGUAUGUGCUUCUCUCAUGGACGUUCAAAAGGAUUUGUCUAACAUUUAUGAAUUAUUGGUGAAAGUACCCACGUUUUUGUUUCAUAGAAGAAAACACUGGUCACUUGAAAUUCUGAAGGUCUAUUUGCUUCUGCAUCAACCGAUUUCAAAUCCUAAUGUGGUGUAUCUCAAACCUCUAUACAUGGGUUUUGCACAAUCACUUAAAAAUACAAAAACAUACAUACACAAUUACAUACAUGCAUUCAUAUAUGCAUAUGUACAUACUUCGUUCUGUAUAUAUUCAUGCUUCCAUACUUCAUUGUUUACUAGCUUUCUUGAUUUUCUGUUUUGACUUUUAUGCUAACUUACUUGCUUCCUUAUUUACUGUUCAUUUAUA